This 253-nucleotide ribosomal RNA is filed under the name uncultured bacterium. RNAcentral describes it as "partial 16S ribosomal RNA". It matches the Rfam family "Bacterial small subunit ribosomal RNA", at positions 524 to 776 of the family's 1533-position model. The record is from RNAcentral.
UACGUAGGGUGCAAGCGUUGUCCGGAAUUAUUGGGCGUAAAGAGCUCGUAGGCGGUUUGUCGCGUCUGCUGUGAAAACGCGAGGCUCAACCUCGCGCCUGCAGUGGGUACGGGCAGACUGGAGUGCGGUAGGGGAGAUUGGAAUUCCUGGUGUAGCGGUGGAAUGCGCAGAUAUCAGGAGGAACACCGGUGGCGAAGGCGGGUCUCUGGGCAGUAACUGACGCUGAGGAGCGAAAGCGUGGGGAGCGAACAGG